CACUUUUACAGAUUUCUUCGGAAUGAAGUUUUAGUGACUGAGUGGCGGACGGGUGAGUAACGCGUGGGUAACCUGCCUCACACAGGGGGAUAACAGUUGGAAACGGCUGCUAAUACCGCAUAAGACCACAGCCUCGCAUGGGGCAGGGGAAAAAACGAUAGUGGUGUAAGAUGGGCCCGCGUCUGAUUAGGUAGUUGGAGAGGUAAAGGCUCCCCAAGCCGACGAUCAGUAGCCGACCUGAGAGGGUGACCGGCCACAUUGGGACUGAGACACGGCCCAAACUCC
RNAcentral lists this ribosomal RNA (285 nucleotides) under uncultured Lachnospiraceae bacterium. Its description in RNAcentral is "partial 16S ribosomal RNA". The stretch from base 47 to 285 matches the Rfam family "Bacterial small subunit ribosomal RNA", at positions 100 to 339 of the family's 1533-position model. Lineage: Bacteria; Bacillati; Bacillota; Clostridia; Lachnospirales; Lachnospiraceae. The record is from RNAcentral.